This 107-nucleotide small nuclear RNA is filed under the name Octodon degus (degu). Lineage: Eukaryota; Metazoa; Chordata; Mammalia; Rodentia; Octodontidae. The record is from RNAcentral.
GUGCUCACUUCGGCAGCACAUAGCUUAAAAUUGAAACGAUACAGAGAAGAUUAGCAUGGCCCCUGCACAAGGAUGACACACAAAUUCGUGAAGCGUCCCAUAUUGUU